RNAcentral lists this long non-coding RNA (1091 nucleotides) under Homo sapiens (human). RNAcentral's name for it is "non-protein coding lnc-FGFR2-2:2". The record is from RNAcentral. Lineage: Eukaryota; Metazoa; Chordata; Mammalia; Primates; Hominidae.
GACACAGUGUUUUGGGCAACCCAAAAGCAACGUGGUGAUUUCAGUGCCCUGAGUCAGGAAGAAGCCGAUUGCAUUUCUCAAUAUAUCCUGGGGUUAAUGGAUGAGAAGCAAGGAGGAUUUCGAAUCAGAAGGGCAACAGCAACACCCUCCUGCCAUUCUUGAGCACACCGCAGGUUUCCAGUGCUGAGCUAGGCACUCUCUGCAGUUUAUUAACCCACACCAGUUGUUACCCAGUCCCAACAGGUAUGCAAACUUUUUCCCAUUUUAAAGGUGAGGAAACUGAGAUUCGGAGACAUCCCGAGCCUAAGGCUGAGCGGCUGAGAAGUGAGUGAGAUGGGAGCUUGGGUCCUGCCCGUGGCUAUGCCCCGUGGUGGGCCUGGUUCUUGGGAAGAGGCACGGGGUGUGCUCUGCUACCCCAAGGUGACUGGAGGUGUGUGUUCUUUACACCACCACACCCUGGGAUUUGGAAGAUGAAUCAGUCAGGGCUUUUUGUUGUGGGUAACAGGAUAGGAAGUUGAAAAUGAGGGGGCAGCUUGAGAAUCAGAGAGAAAGCAGGAGAGGAGCGGGGCACAAAGGAUGAGAGCCCAGGAGCUCUGAGGGUUUCUUGGCAGAGCUGAUGGAAGGUCUCUGACAGUGCUGGUCAUGGAACAGAGGCCUCAGCCAUGUCCCCUGCUGUUGUCUCUCUGCUCACGAUCCCGAUUCCAGGGAGAGCAGGUGCAGUGGGCUCUGCUGGGGUCUGGCGCCCAUCUCCUGUCUUUGGGAGGGCAGGUGUCUUGAAUGACGAUCCCAUCAGACUGUAUCAAAGUGGGAAAGAGGCCAUUCCCCAGGAAGAAAUCAGGAUGUUGUUACUAACAGAAAGAGGGAGGAGAAUGGGUGUUGUGUUGAGUGGCCAGAAAGCCUGAAAUGUGCAUGAUACCGGGUGUUGGGUGGAAAAGCUAGAAGUUCUCCCAUCCUCUGGCUGUGGGGUGAGACUUUCCUCUCUCUUACAUCUAAGAACCAGAGAUGCAUUUGUAAUUGCAGCAGACCUGAAGACAUUGCUCUGUUGUAGACUGACUGGUCAUUCUGAAAGGUGGCUUUGAGUGACGGGCCAG